CCACAUCCUUGACACUUGUGUAUAUAUAUAUCCUCUAUACCCUUAAACCACUCCUCAUUACCAACAAUACCCAUAAAAAUAAUCUCUUUUCUCAGUCCUCCUCCCUCAAGAUUUCUGAUAACAACCUAAAAUGGGUCGGAAAAACCUAGAAAUAUUUUUUGUGUUCUUGAUUAUACUUGCUUCAGUUGUGUCCUCUACUCAAGGCCGGAAGCUAUUCAACGCGAAAUAUAAUACAGCUAAGAAGACUCCAUCAUUGGACGAAAGUCUGUAUUUAAAUAUCCUUCCUAAGGGUACAGUACCACCUUCUACCCCAAGCAACAAGGGCCAUUCCGUGCCCAUUGACGAAAAGCUCGUCAAGCGUCACCUUGGAGCGGUCGACCGGAUUCUCGGUUCGGUUCCUAGCCCCGGCGUGGGACACUAGUCUCGUUACAGUUUCUUUAGUUUUCUUCCUUCACAAAUUUGGAUAUUCUUUUAUUGCUGGUUAUAACGGUCAGGUCCUUUACGGAGGAAUUGGCCUCUGUAAUCUACUAUAUUCUUUUAUUUAUGGGAUUAAAUCACGAAAUUUUAAUCCCAUUAGAUUGAGAUAGGUCUUUCAAACGAUUAUUGAUGUCGAAGAGGAGUUUGUAACUAAUAGACCACAGAAAAAUACUAGUUUUCUCGAUUGAUUUGAUUAUGUAUAUUCACUUUAGUUUUAACAUUCUGUUUGUUUGUUUAUAUAAUUAGACUAUUAGUGCAUGUUCUUGUAAAGAUUUUAGAAGAUUUCCAUCCGUACAGAGAACUAUUCCAAGAAUUUUGCCAGAAAUCUCACAUGUAUGAGACCCAUGUUGUGAUAAAAAAUGUCAAAAAAUCUCCCCACCCACUCCUUGCUAUGUCUAUUCUGUAUGGUUUCUGUGUGUGCAAUUUCUAUACACACAGCAAGCUUCAUGUAGAA
This 931-nucleotide long non-coding RNA is filed under the name Olea europaea subsp. europaea. The record is from RNAcentral. Lineage: Eukaryota; Viridiplantae; Streptophyta; Magnoliopsida; Lamiales; Oleaceae.